This 308-nucleotide small nuclear RNA is filed under the name Cebus imitator (Panamanian white-faced capuchin). RNAcentral describes it as "7SK RNA (ENSCCAG00000009929.1)". It matches the Rfam family "7SK RNA". Rfam says of the family: 7SK was discovered as an abundant small nuclear RNA in the mid-70s but a possible function has only recently been suggested. The record is from RNAcentral. Lineage: Eukaryota; Metazoa; Chordata; Mammalia; Primates; Cebidae.
GGAUAUGAGGGUGAUCUGGCUGGGACAUCCGUCAUCCCAUUGAUCACCAGAGUUGACUUGGCUAAUCUGACUGACUAGACAGAUGUCCCCUUCCUUCCUUAUUGCUCCACGUGUGUCUGUCCUGAAGCUGUGCGCUUGAUCAAAGAAGAUGACCAUCCCGGUGGAGGAGGACUGGUCUUCAGUCAAGGGUAUAUGUGUGGCUGCACUCCCCUGCUAGAACCUCCAAACAAGCUUUCAAGAAGAGCCUAUGGAAGGCUGGAUGCAGUGGCUCAUGCCUGUAAUCCCAGCACUUUGGGAGGAUGAGGCGG